Long non-coding RNA from Lepidothrix coronata (blue-crowned manakin), 315 nucleotides. RefSeq lists it as uncharacterized. The transcript has 3 exons. Lineage: Eukaryota; Metazoa; Chordata; Aves; Passeriformes; Pipridae. The record is from RefSeq and is a predicted model, not a curated record.
UGAGGGAAGGAAUGAGAAGGGGGGCAGAAGAAGCACACAGGAUCCAUAUGCUAUAACGUACUUCAGGCUCCAAAUGGGCAUAAUCUGUCCCUUGAUUCCAGUCUCUCAAUACAGCCUCUAAGUCACAAAUUCAAUAGACCAAAUACAACUCAUCUUUGGAGUAGCCACUGGGAUGAAUUUAGAUCUGGCUGUAUCAGAAACAGUGUCAGAAGAAAAGCGGAUGAAAAUUGUACAAAAACUCCUUUGUACCCUGCUUCACAGACUUGUGACCAUGACUGAAUUCAUCUUCUGGAUGUUUCCUCAGAUGAGCAUGCC